CGAAGUAGGAUUUUAUGCGUCAAGUGUUCGCAGGCUGGGGAGUCGCCGCGAAACGAAAAGGAGAGCUUUGACUCGGUCUUACGAUAUAUUAUCCGCACCCGUUG
Molecule: non-coding RNA, 104 nt
Filed under: uncultured Anaerosacchariphilus sp.
Lineage: Bacteria; Bacillati; Bacillota; Clostridia; Lachnospirales; Lachnospiraceae
Description: THF riboswitch
Rfam family: THF (Tetrahydrofolate) riboswitch aptamer
About the family: THF riboswitch presents a pseudoknot that joins P1-P2 and the loop of P3 and two THF binding.
Source: RNAcentral